This 385-nucleotide non-coding RNA is filed under the name Musa acuminata subsp. malaccensis (wild Malaysian banana). Its description in RNAcentral is "Bacterial large subunit ribosomal RNA". It matches the Rfam family "Bacterial large subunit ribosomal RNA", at positions 2094 to 2468 of the family's 2925-position model. Lineage: Eukaryota; Viridiplantae; Streptophyta; Magnoliopsida; Zingiberales; Musaceae. The record is from Rfam by way of RNAcentral.
UGAAACUUUAUUAUUCCCUGAGAUUGGCUUUGGACCUUUCCUAGGCAGCUUAAGUGGAAGACAAAGAAGGCCUCCUUCAGAGGGGUAUAAGCCAUUAGUAAGACACCACUUUAGAAAAGCUAGAAUUCUAACCUUAUGUUAGGACUUAUGGGCCAAGAGAUAAUCAGUCUCAAGUAGAUAGUUUCUACAGGGCAUAGGCCUCCCAAAAGGUAAUGAAGGAGUGCAAAAGUUUCCUCGAGCCGAAUGGUGAUUGGCUCUUGAGUGCAAAGGUAAAAGAUAGCUUGACUGCAAGAUUCACUCGUUGAGCAAGGACUAAAGUUAGUCUUAGUGAUCUGACGAUGCCGAGUGGAAGGACAUAUAGAGUUUCAAAUAACAAAAGUCAAUC